Molecule: ribosomal RNA, 253 nt
Filed under: uncultured bacterium
Lineage: Bacteria
Description: partial 16S ribosomal RNA
Rfam family: Bacterial small subunit ribosomal RNA
Source: RNAcentral
UACAGAGGGUGCGAGCGUUAAUCGGAGUGACUGGGCGUAAAGGGUGCGUAGGCGGUUAGAUUAGUCUGAUGUGAAAGACCUGGGCUUAACCUGGGAUGUGCAUUGGAAACGGUCUAGCUAGAGUUUGAGAGAGGGAAGUGGAAUUUCCGGUGUAGCGGUGAAAUGCGUAGAGAUCGGGAAGAACACCAAUGGCGAAGGCAGCUCGCUGGGACGUGACUGACGCUGAGACGCGAAAGCGUGGGGAGCAAACAGG